This 432-nucleotide ribosomal RNA is filed under the name uncultured bacterium. RNAcentral describes it as "bacterial SSU rRNA". It matches the Rfam family "Bacterial small subunit ribosomal RNA", at positions 70 to 498 of the family's 1533-position model. The record is from RNAcentral.
CAGCACGGACUUCGGUCUGGUGGCGAGUGGCGAACGGGUGAGUAAUGUAUCGGAACGUACCUUUCAGUGGGGAUAACGUAGCGAAAGUUACGCUAAUACCGCAUAUUCUGUGAGCAGGAAAGCAGGGGAUCGCAAGACCUUGCGCUGAUUGAGCGGCCGAUAUCAGAUUAGCUAGUUGGUGGGGUAAAGGCCUACCAAGGCUACGAUCUGUAGCGGGUCUGAGAGGAUGAUCCGCCACACUGGAACUGAGACACGGUCCAGACUCCUACGGGAGGCAGCAGUGGGGAAUUUUGGACAAUGGGGGCAACCCUGAUCCAGCCAUGCCGCGUGAGUGAAGAAGGCCUUCGGGUUGUAAAGCUCUUUCGGCCGGGAAGAAAUCGCAUAGACUAAUACCCUGUGUGGAUGACGGUACCGGAAUAAGAAGCACCGGCC